CACACAUUUUUGGGAGUACCAAGAUGGCGACCAACUGGCAUCCCCCUCGAUAUGUAUACACUAUCAAGUUCCCCAGAUCAGAUGGUGAGGAUAAGCGGCUUGGGGACAAGCUGAAAAGGUUUAUGUAAAUACAGAAAGAUGGGUGGAAAAUGGAAUGAAGCAUUUUUCAAGGUGUGCGUCAUUAUCGUUUUCCGAGGAACGCCGAUUACAGUGCAGAUCUACAGCGGACGUGGCAUCUGUAAAGCUGCCGUUUCCAUUGGGUGAUCGAAGAGGAAGUGCCAGGGUCAGCGUUCGGGUGAGCGAGCGAAGCGAUCAUUUUGGACAUUUGUCCAGUCCAUAUUUGGAGUUUAUUAUUGUUGUGGGUGCGUUUGUUUGUGUUACUCCUCCAUGCGUGUUAACGUAGCAGUCGUUUUAAAGGUUUCCUGUAACAUCUAUGCUAUUUUUUUUUUUUACUUCCGUUAGCCCAUCUAUGGCAUUUAACAUGAUGUGUUAGCAGGAAGCCGAGAUUAUAAAAUCAGGUUUGGUCGAAUAUUGGGAUGUUUCAAUACAUACAAUGUGUACUGUAAUUCCCGGCCUACAGAGCGCUU
Molecule: long non-coding RNA, 587 nt
Organism: Syngnathoides biaculeatus (alligator pipefish)
Lineage: Eukaryota; Metazoa; Chordata; Actinopteri; Syngnathiformes; Syngnathidae
Exons: 3
Source: RefSeq, a predicted model, not a curated record